RNAcentral lists this microRNA precursor (77 nucleotides) under Cebus imitator (Panamanian white-faced capuchin). RNAcentral describes it as "miRNA (ENSCCAG00000015885.1)". The stretch from base 10 to 75 matches the Rfam family "mir-8/mir-141/mir-200 microRNA precursor family". Rfam says of the family: The bounds of the precursors are predicted based on conservation and base pairing and are not generally known. Lineage: Eukaryota; Metazoa; Chordata; Mammalia; Primates; Cebidae. The record is from RNAcentral.
CGCCGGGGGAUGAGCGUCUUACCAGACACGGUUAGACCUUCCCUCUGUCUAAUACUGUCUGGUAAAACCGUCCAUCC